GCAGGGUCCCAGGAGGAGCACAGGGACCCAAUGGGUGGCAUCCACUAUGCAGAGCUGAGCCAGCAGGGUACUGGAGACAGCAGGGACCAGGGUAGGGGUGCAGCUCGUCUAGAAGGGGAGACGCCCCUCACUACUGUCUACAGUGAGGUCCGCAGGCCAGGCAGGGCCAUGAUGAGGAUUUAAUUGGAAGAAGCAGGAGAAUCCGGCCCCCCGGGGACACCUGUCUUGGGACCAUGAUGCCUGCAGCCUUGGUCUCACCUCUUCCUCCUCUGACUCCUCUGCUGAGGGACUGGCUGGUCCAAACAUCAGCUAGUGUCUAUGCUAAGUGGUUCUGCACACGUUCACCAUGAGACACACACAGUGGUAGAGCAAGAGGGAAACUGAGUCAAUGUAUUGGUACCAACAUGUUCCAGGUCGGCUCAGCCUCAGCCCGGACACCCCUGGAUGGACUCUGCUCUCCUCCUCAUCUAUAGGACAGCAAACUACCUUCAGACCCUCGCCCCCUGGACGCACCACUGUGACUCACAGCCUCCCACCGGGACAGUCUGAAGAGCAGCCCGCGGUCAGGCUGGGCCGAGAGCUAUUCAGGGACGCGAUGCCUCCGUGGCGGUCAGCGCCGGCUGCGUGCUGCUCUGUGGCCCGCACUGCUCUGACCUCGUGCAGGCUGGGACCUCCCGGGCCUCGUGCACACGCCGUGACGUGGGGGUCUUGUGCGCAGGGUCGGGUCAGUAGAAGGAGGCCUUGGGGGCUGACUCUGGAGGCCGCGCAGCUGGGAGCGCUGGGCCGGGACCCAGCCCGGGGAUCGGGGCUCCAGGCGCGGCUCCCCAGCCCUCGGCUGUCUGUCCCGAGUCCUGGCAAAGCUCCCUUCUGUCCUGUCCUGCUGCAAAUGGCAGAGCCUCCUACUGUUCAGGAAGAAAUGGAAGUUUCUGGGUCCUACCAGUUAGCUUUUAACAGGCUGUGUUGAUUGA
Long non-coding RNA from Canis lupus familiaris (dog), 968 nucleotides. RefSeq lists it as uncharacterized. The transcript is spliced from 2 exons. The record is from RefSeq and is a predicted model, not a curated record. Lineage: Eukaryota; Metazoa; Chordata; Mammalia; Carnivora; Canidae.